UAACAAACACAGGGGUGCCAUUUAUGGCUGAAAGGACACUGGGUCCAACCCUUAUUACCUGAUCUAGACAAUACUAGCGUAGGGAGUGUCAAGAUGAAAAAA
Molecule: non-coding RNA, 102 nt
Filed under: Simkania negevensis
Lineage: Bacteria; Pseudomonadati; Chlamydiota; Chlamydiia; Parachlamydiales; Simkaniaceae
Also listed under: 1 other name
Description: TPP sequence
Rfam family: TPP riboswitch aptamer (THI element)
About the family: Vitamin B(1) in its active form thiamin pyrophosphate (TPP) is an essential coenzyme that is synthesised by coupling of pyrimidine and thiazole moieties in bacteria. The previously detected thiamin-regulatory element, thi box was extended, resulting in a new, highly conserved RNA secondary structure, the THI element, which is widely distributed in eubacteria and also occurs in some archaea.
Source: RNAcentral